CACCUGUUGGGCGAAAUCUCUGGCAGGCGUUUUCCCCAGAGAGUCGGCUCUGUGGUGAAACCACGCUGGGUGUAUUUUGCAGUGUUGGCCCUUUUCCCUGUCAGAUUCAAGGGCAUCGUUCUCAGAUCUUCUGAGGACCCGGUGAUGCUCCUGGAGGCGGCCAGACCUUCUUCCAAAGUGUACAGCCCAGAGGAAUUUCUUAGAUGCACACCAGUGGUGCUCAGCUGCCAGCAUCCAUCGCAGUGAUCACUGCCGUGUUCUGCCAGAGUCUGUGGCCCCGGAGGCGUCUGCUCCAGGGAAAGAUCGCAGCGGGGACUCUGUCCACAGAGAGCUAGAGGAGGGCUGGUUUCCCUGACACGUCGGUUCUCCACUGGACCCAGUAGAAACCACUGAUCUCCAGCAUGUCCUGCUGCGGCUGGUCGUAAAGGAGAAGUGUGAUGACAUCCACGCUCUCUACAGGUUGGAGCUGAGUCUGGGAGGCUUUCGGGCUAACUUUUCAUUGUUCGCUCGAGUUCAUGGAUGGAAGAGACAGCAGCUGCAGGAUCUGGGCUGCUGACUGCAGAAAAAAGCCCCUCUCGGAGGAAGGGCCCGCGGAAAGAAUGGACGCCUGCAAAUUGCCAGGGUGGUGAGUCCUGGGUCUGCCUGAAGGUAUGUGCAUUGGCGCCCAGAGGCCGCUAAGAAUAAGCUCAUAGUCACGUGUGCAUGGAAAUGACAGGUUAAAGAAGGCAGUGCUAAUCGAGAGAGGUGUGGUACAUGAAAACGCCUUCAAAAAUUAAAGACUCGGCGGACUCCUUAAAUUAGGGAAUAAUGCUGAGUCUUCCAGAGACUCACCUUGAGUGAAACCACUAAAGCACAUGCGGGGCUCAAACAUCCCACCCGGCGGAUUGUCCUACAGUCACCUCACACACAGAUUGUCCUGCCGUCAACACAGUGGGUGACAGAAGAGGACUUCACUGCCUCGUCUGUCAUCUGAGCCCCAGAAGUUCUGAGGCCCAGCAAGGGGGGGCUGCUGGCUUGAAGCUGGGCAGCUCCACUGGUCAACUGUGUUGCCUCCUGAACUUCCUGAGCUACUCUGAGCUGUGGUCUUGGAGAUAACGG
RNAcentral lists this long non-coding RNA (1098 nucleotides) under Sus scrofa (pig). Its description in RNAcentral is "lncRNA (ENSSSCG00015066880.1)". The record is from RNAcentral. Lineage: Eukaryota; Metazoa; Chordata; Mammalia; Artiodactyla; Suidae.